Molecule: ribosomal RNA, 425 nt
Filed under: uncultured bacterium
Lineage: Bacteria
Description: bacterial SSU rRNA
Rfam family: Bacterial small subunit ribosomal RNA
Source: RNAcentral
AUUGAACGCUGGCGGCAUGCCUUACACAUGCAAGUCGAACGGUAACAGGUCUUCGGAUGCUGACGAGUGGCGAACGGGUGAGUAGUACAUCGGAACGUGCCCGAUCGUGGGGGAUAACGCAGCGAAAGCUGUGCUAAUACCGCAUACGAUCUACGGAUGAAAGCGGGGGAUCGCAAGACCUCGCGCGGACGGAGCGGCCGAUGGCAGAUUAGGUAGUUGGUGGGAUAAAAGCUUACCAAGCCGACGAUCUGUAGCUGGUCUGAGAGGACGACCAGCCACACUGGGACUGAGACACGGCCCAGACUCCUACGGGAGGCAGCAGUGGGGAAUUUUGGACAAUGGGCGAAAGCCUGAUCCAGCAAUGCCGCGUGCAGGAUGAAGGCCUCGGGUUGUAACUAGCUUUGUACGGUAACGAAACGGACGAG